Molecule: unclassified non-coding RNA, 205 nt
Filed under: Hevea brasiliensis (rubber tree)
Lineage: Eukaryota; Viridiplantae; Streptophyta; Magnoliopsida; Malpighiales; Euphorbiaceae
Source: RNAcentral
GGAAUUUCUCUAAGAGACCCACCGAUACCAGUAGGUUUUUCUCGCUGGAAUACCCCAUCGACGAUCACCGUCGGCUGCCCUGCUGCCAUAGUCUCCAUCUUUUAGUUAUUAUUAAUUUGAGACUGAUGGGUCGUGGCUAAUAUCCAAAAGACUAAAGAAAAGGAAGGUGGAUAUAUUGAUGAAUAAGAUGAUGGAAUUAUAGAAG